This 63-nucleotide transfer RNA is filed under the name Oligodon arenarius. RNAcentral's name for it is "tRNA-Val". The record is from RNAcentral. Lineage: Eukaryota; Metazoa; Chordata; Lepidosauria; Squamata; Colubridae. RNAcentral also lists the same sequence under 1 other name.
CAAAAAGUAGCUUACAAAAAGCAUUCGACCUACAACCGAAAGACAUUACAUCAAUCUUUUUGA